RNAcentral lists this long non-coding RNA (241 nucleotides) under Actinidia chinensis (golden kiwifruit). Its description in RNAcentral is "long non-coding RNA (ACHI_LNC003296)". Lineage: Eukaryota; Viridiplantae; Streptophyta; Magnoliopsida; Ericales; Actinidiaceae. The record is from RNAcentral.
ACCUAUGAAGACUUAUUAUUACCUGUUAGAUAGUGACUUGUUAUACUCCUUAACUGACUUAAAUUGAACCCAAAAUUAAUAGCCAUAAUAGGCUGGGAUGAGCAUUUGGAAUGAACUGCAAUGAUCUCUAAGAUUUGGCAAUAAUGCCAAAUAACCCCUAAAAUUUGAGAAAAUGAAAAGGUCUUCCCCUGUUGUAACGGAUGAUUAAUCAAGCAAGGUUAAGAAAGUAAAAACACAUGAA